RNAcentral lists this long non-coding RNA (694 nucleotides) under Marmota monax (woodchuck). Lineage: Eukaryota; Metazoa; Chordata; Mammalia; Rodentia; Sciuridae. The record is from RNAcentral.
CCUAGACAAAGACGGGAGAAAAAAUGUAAUUGGAGAGAAAUGAGAAAGUAUCUCAAAGCGCGCAGAGGCGGUCAGGAGAUAGCGGUGGCGAUGGGGACAGCCGGCGGAAUGACGAGGCUCUCUGCCACUCCGAUGGACUUCUCGCCAGAGCCCUGCUUUAUCACUUUAAAGUGAUAAAUGACAACUAGCAGUGAUCCUCGAGCCUGGAACCACCUGCUGGAUAUUCACAGAUUGGCAAGGAUAAUGAGCCCGUCCCUGGAAGGGGGGACUCUGACGUCAUCGAGCAGACGGCACACUUUAUAAAGCUGGGCUACAGAACAACAGGGUUGAGGACCGGCACCGCCGUCCACGUUGGGAAUCUGGCUCCGUCCGGGGUGGAGACACCGCCCUGCACGCACCUGUGGGGUGUGUUUUGGGAGUUCACCUGAAGAGCUAACCACGCACAUGUGUGACGGACCAGGACUCUCCCUUUCUGGUGGUGGAUGGCUGGAAGCCCCGGGCAUGCCAGGCAAGUGCUGCACCCCUGUGCCAUGGUCCCCACCCCAAGACUUGGUCCUUAGCAGUGACAGUUGUGACCAGAAGCUCAACAGUAGGAAAACUGGCGGAAUCCACCUGGGCCUCUCCCCUCAGGACGUACUGCACCCACCAUCCGUCUUGUCCCACAGGAGAACGUGCCCAGGGUGCAGAGAGGUGU